Molecule: non-coding RNA, 30 nt
Filed under: Rattus norvegicus (Norway rat)
Lineage: Eukaryota; Metazoa; Chordata; Mammalia; Rodentia; Muridae
Source: RNAcentral
UAUUAAGUGCCAACUAGCUUAACCGGAAAU